AUUUACCACCAGGACAUUUCACCCUGUAUUUUGUUGUAGUGGGGGGAUCGUAACUGUAUUUAGACUUUAUAUGGCAUGGGCUACUCGGUUCACAACAGCAGCACCUGCAGCACAUUAAUUAAUUAUCUCAUAGCUUCCAUUUAGUCUGCAGCUGUUGCUACUAUGUUAAUAUUUUUAUCACCACUGUAUACAACAGGUUAUGGGAAUAAAAGAAAUAUCUCUUUUUGGGGGAGCUUCCCCCCUGUCAUUUCCAUUUUUCUAUGUCAGAAGAGAAGACUGAAAGAAAUUCAGACAAAUCAAGCCCCCUCAGCGCACUAGAACGUUCUAUUUCUGAACUGAUUUGUAAGAGAAUGGGUAACUGAAGUUAGCAGAGAAUCACCCCACACAAAGAUGGCGCGUGCAGAAUUUGUGAAAGCGAACAAGGAGAAGGACAAGCCAGAGAGGACGGAGCACUGCAGAGCUGGGGUGCUGGAGUCCAGAAAUGAUUUUUUUCGAUGAAUUUAGGAUUUUGCCGCAGUAUGCAUCUGCAGUCCCAGAAUCCUCCGGUAAGCUAAUCCUUCUUGCGAUGGGAAACGCCUUUAACCUUCCUCUGAGUGAAAUAUCUGCGGCCAUUUUGAAAUUUUUAACAGAGGGGUUGUGUGCGUGCGUGUGUGGCUUCGCGGCGUGGGUGUUGGGGGUAUGUGUCUCCACAGCAUGAUUUCUAGCACCGCUGAAGGAUCCGUCUCAGCUCCCAGCAACACUGAGAAGCAUCUAUCUUUCUGUUCUCUGAACAUCACGGACGGUGUCUCCACGGCUUCUCUGUCCACGCUCACGGUAGCCACUGAGGCGUCCUUUCUUAGCAGGGCAAACAACGAAGGCCUGGAAGAAACAGGGCUCCAAGCAGGAAGGGAGUCUGGACAUAAGCAAAGGAACUGGGCCACGGCCACCACCUCCGCCACCUUCCCGGCCCCUCUCGGCAGAGCACAUUAGCUGCCAGCUCCGAGUGGCCAUCCGCCGCCCAUGCCCAGUGGGCUCCUUGAUUCCUUCUCUGUGAGAAAACAGCUAGCCACGUAGGCUGACAGAGGCAUUUACAGCGACAGCCCGCUCAGCUGGAAAGAAAUCAAAAGACAACCCUGAACCCUGAGAUGAUGCAUUGUAAAUCAAAAGUCCCAAUCCGUAAAUAGCCCACUCGAUGAACUGCUAAACGAAAGCUGAUGCUGAUUUUUGUUCAGCAUUUGCAUGUAGUCAUACAGAAACGUUUUUAAUGUCUUCUACAAGAGCCACGAUUGAUUAUUUUCCAAUGCAUAGAAUGUUGCUUCCUGUUAUGUUUUGCUGGGAGGUAUUCUUCCUGAGGGCCUUGGAUGUGGUGUCCAGAGGUGACCACACCCCAGCCCCAUAGCCUGUUUUCUACCCUUUCGCUUAUUUUCAAGCAGGGUUGACUAACAGUUUCAAUCUUACAUUACACUAAGGGCCCGAGUCAAAAGGAGCCAGUCAUCCAUUUCCCUCUCUGAAAGAAGUUCAUUGUCUCAGGCCCUCAAUAAAUGUUUAAUUAAUGGAUUUGAUAGAGUUAAGUAUCCAAAAAGGGCCUGGACCAUCUUCAUAAAGCUGGCUUAGCAUUUCUUCUGCCUGACGUGCAAAAACAAGAUAGGAAUUUAUUUAUGUGCCUGGCUAAAAGUAAUUCAUAAGUGUGUUUCAGUGUAGGGAUGCUUUUUGUUCAGGUUCUGUGUCGCCAGUCCGUGGUGUGCCAAUGGCUGGUAUCGCAACAUGCACUGUCUCCUCCAGCUGGAGACACUUUUGGUUUCUAGGAACACAGCCUAAAAUUCAGAACCUUUUGUUUGUCGCCAUUUCACAAAAUGAAUCCAUUUACAUCAAACCCAUUGGGCUGGCUCUAGAAGAAAAAAUGAAAAACAACCCAAGUAGUCUUUCUUAAUGAACUGUAUUGCUCAAGGACAAUAUCUUGAAUAAUUAGUUUUACAAAAUCACUUAUUCCACUCAUUAUUUUGAUGCUGUAUCUCUGUAUCUUUCCCCCCCCCCCCGUGUGUGUGUGUGUGUGUGUGUGUGGUUUGCCAUUUCUUUUUGGUUUAAUGAUAGUAUUAGUCUUAAUUUCACAGACAUUAUCCAGCUCAUAGUCUGGUGAGACAAUUGGAACAAUUUCUGUCUUACGAGAUAAGCAAAUAAAAAUUCUAAGAAUUUGUUAAAUUCUAACUUGUUUUCAGGCCACUCACUCAAUAAUUCUUCAGUACACUUAAAUUUGAUGGGAAAAACAGCAGGG
Molecule: long non-coding RNA, 2251 nt
Organism: Heterocephalus glaber (naked mole-rat)
Lineage: Eukaryota; Metazoa; Chordata; Mammalia; Rodentia; Bathyergidae
Source: Ensembl